CGGAACGGGGUGGAGGUAACGACGUGAGGGAAACCUGCCUCAGAAGGGGGGACAACAGUUGGAAACGACUGCUAAUACCGCAUAAGCCCACGGCUCGGCAUCGAGCAGAGGGAAAAGGAGCAAUCCGCUUUGAGAUGGCCUCGCGUCCGAUUAGCUGGUUGGUGAGGUAACGGCCCACCAAGGCGACGAUCGGUAGCCGGACUGGGAGGUUGAACGGCCACAUUGGGACUGAGACACGGCCCAG
RNAcentral lists this ribosomal RNA (244 nucleotides) under uncultured bacterium. Its description in RNAcentral is "partial 16S ribosomal RNA". It matches the Rfam family "Bacterial small subunit ribosomal RNA", at positions 104 to 334 of the family's 1533-position model. The record is from RNAcentral.